AGUGAACGCUGGCGGCAGGCCUAACACAUGCAAGUCGAACGGCAGCACAGUAAGAGCUUGCUCUUACGGGUGGCGAGUGGCGGACGGGUGAGGAAUACAUCGGAAUCUACUUUUUCGUGGGGGAUAACGUAGGGAAACUUACGCUAAUACCGCAUACGACCUACGUGUGAAAGCAGGGGAUCUUCGGACCUUGCGGGAUUGAAUGAGCCGCUGUCGGAUUAGCUAGUUGGCGGGGUAAAGGCCCACCAAGGCGACGAUCCGUAGCUGGUCUGAGAGGAUGGUCAGCCACACUGGAACUGAGACACGGUCCAGACUCCUACGGGAGGCAGCAGUGGGGAAUAUUGGACAAGGGGCGCAAGCCUGAUCCAGCCAUACCGCGUGGGGGAAGAAGGCCUUCGGGUGGUAAAGCCCUUUUGUUGGGAAGGAAAAGCAGCAGGUUAAUACCCCGCUGUUCUGACGGUACCCAAAGAAUAAGCACCGGCUAACUUCGUG
This 492-nucleotide ribosomal RNA is filed under the name uncultured bacterium. RNAcentral describes it as "partial 16S ribosomal RNA". It matches the Rfam family "Bacterial small subunit ribosomal RNA", at positions 29 to 507 of the family's 1533-position model. The record is from RNAcentral.